Molecule: non-coding RNA, 1484 nt
Organism: Solanum lycopersicum (tomato)
Lineage: Eukaryota; Viridiplantae; Streptophyta; Magnoliopsida; Solanales; Solanaceae
Source: RefSeq, a predicted model, not a curated record
CGCUAGUCUCUCUUCUUCACAUCGUCUCUCUUCUUCACAAAGAUCACUAUUCUCUUCUCUCACACACUCUGUUGUCAAGGUCUUUCUCUCUACUGAACAACUUUGAAUUGCUCUAAAUGACAACGGUGAAGAUCAUGGUGGCGAGGAUAAAAUUGCUGAGAAACAAGGAGGUGGUUGUCAGGAAAAUGAUGAGAUACAGACAUUGGUAUGCUUCUCGAAUCCCACUGCUCGAUCGUAUUCAGGGCUUAAAUUUUGGUUGCAAGCAAUGGCUGCGAAUCCAUCUGGGUUGGAGAAUUGAAUGGUGGAGCGGCCAAACUUGUGGAGGAUCAAGAUUGAUCCCUUUUUCAUUCCCUUCAUUGUGAAAGGUUAGAGAGACUUCAUUAGGUUAUUGCAGAAAAUUCAAUAUUCCAAGCUAAAGCGGAAUCUGCAAUCCUUCAGUGUGACCCUUAGUUUGAUAAAAAGGGAUAUUCCCACCCUGGAUAUCGCAUUCUGCCGCAGUUCAAGAGGAAGUGUGUUAACAAGAAUCUACUCCGGAGUAAGUCCGAGCAUUUUUACGUCAAUGCGUUCCUGAACGUGGAACUUGAUGUCUGUGAUGCUUUCCUCGACGCCUCAAUGUGAUUACUAAUUCUUCAAGUAAAACACUAAUUAAAUAGGAUUCAAGUUUCUGAAGAUUUGGGGAAUAAUAACAUUUUAAAGCUUCAUAUUCUUUCCCUCCUAAGUUAUCCGCAAUAUUUGUAAUCUGCAAUUGUUCCACAAUCUUAAUGAGAGUAAAAGUACUCUUGCCUACUUUUUUGCAUCAGGAUGCUUUAUGUAGUUUUCUGUACCCAUCACCUUUAGUUUCUGAUCGACGUUAUGUGUCCUUCAUUCCCCUUGAUGUUAUGGGUCCUUUGUGCUACAAAUUACCAUUUCUUUGAUUACUUUGUGUGGUUGGUACAUGCUUGCUACUACAGCUGAUACUCGAGGCUUGUUGAAAUUGGAAUGAUAUUCAUUAUAUAAAAUCAAAUUGCUCGAGUAUCAAAUCUAGAUUGGCGUUUCUUUCUAGACACAACUAAUCUGUUUUUGAGAGACUGGAAGAUUAGAGAUAUUUAUUCUCUUCAGACAGAAAUCAUUCCCACAACCGAAGCAGUUGGAAAAAUAGCAUAUCCAAGCAGGUUGGCAGAGGGAAAUGUUAUCGUCUCAUCUAGUAAUACCACACCUUGAAGAUGAAGUUCCUUUCGUGCAGGUCUUUGUACAAUGAAGCAGGUCUUUGUGUCAGCACCAGUUAAGCUUUAUAAGAAGAAACAGCAUUUGGGAGCUGAGGAGCAAAUCUUGAGUCAGCUUCUUCGCGGUUGAUACGCAGAUUUCUUGAAAUACUAAUAACAAGUUUCAAGUUCUACUCUAACUUGGAGGAAAACACAGUGCCCAAGGAGGCUGGUCACAGGUUUGAUGGUUCUAUAGUGGUGCUAAUGGUUCAAUUUUUAUGUGAAGUUACUUUCGUUUAAUGG